AAAAAGGUAAGCUAAAAAAGCUAAUGGGUUCAUACCCCAUCUAUAGAAUAAUCUUCUCCUUUUUA
This 65-nucleotide transfer RNA is filed under the name Cylindraustralia sp. HS-2014. Its description in RNAcentral is "tRNA-Met". The record is from RNAcentral. Lineage: Eukaryota; Metazoa; Arthropoda; Insecta; Orthoptera; Cylindrachetidae.